AGACGAACCGUCCAAACGUUAUUCGGUAUCACUGGGCUUAAAGCGUGCGUAGGCGGCUUGGUAGGUGAGAUGUGAAAGCCCACGGCUCAACCGUGGAAUUGCGUUUCAAACCCCCAAGCUCGAGGAAGAUAGGGGUGAUGGGAACUUAUGGUGGAGCGGUGAAAUGCGUUGAUAUCAUAGGGAACACCGGUGGCGAAAGCGCAUCACUGGAUCUUUUCUGACGCUGAGGCACGAAAGCUAGGGUAGCGAACGGGAUUAGAUACCCCGGUAGUCCUAGCCGUAAACGAUGAACACUGGGUUGAGGGGACUUCCACAUCCUCUCGGCCGUAGCGAAAGCGUUAAGUGUUCCGCCUGGGGAGUAUGGUCGCAAGGCUGAAACUCAAAGGAAUUGACGGGGGCUCACACAAGCGGUGGAGGAUGUGGCUUAAUUCGAGGCUACGCGAAGAACCUUAUCCUAGAUUUGACAUGCUUGAGAAUCCCUAUGAAAGUAGAGAGUGCCCUUCGGGGAGCUCUU
RNAcentral lists this ribosomal RNA (514 nucleotides) under uncultured Planctomycetaceae bacterium. RNAcentral describes it as "bacterial SSU rRNA". It matches the Rfam family "Bacterial small subunit ribosomal RNA", at positions 523 to 1031 of the family's 1533-position model. Lineage: Bacteria; Pseudomonadati; Planctomycetota; Planctomycetia; Planctomycetales; Planctomycetaceae. The record is from RNAcentral.